UGUGAUCUCAACUUCUAUUUACAGCUAUUAGAGCGCUGUAAGUAGAAGUUUUAUUUAUGUUAUCGAUAAAAAAGAAAAAAGCAGGUCUGCUCAAGCAGGCCUGCUUUUUUUAUUAU
RNAcentral lists this small RNA (116 nucleotides) under Priestia megaterium. RNAcentral describes it as "STnc400". Lineage: Bacteria; Bacillati; Bacillota; Bacilli; Caryophanales; Bacillaceae. The record is from RNAcentral.